UGCAGUCGGUGAUGAAGGUACAAUUAAGUGCUGAGUUUUCUGUGAUUAACUCACCAAAUAUCACCAUCUUUCGGCUGAGACUGCG
This is a non-coding RNA of Musa acuminata subsp. malaccensis (wild Malaysian banana), 85 nucleotides long. The record is from Rfam. NCBI's taxonomy places the organism in Eukaryota, Viridiplantae, Streptophyta, Magnoliopsida, Zingiberales, Musaceae.